Molecule: unclassified non-coding RNA, 3208 nt
Filed under: Hevea brasiliensis (rubber tree)
Lineage: Eukaryota; Viridiplantae; Streptophyta; Magnoliopsida; Malpighiales; Euphorbiaceae
Source: RNAcentral
CUUUUACUAUCACCAUAAAUAGACGCAGUUUCUUCAUUUUACAUCACUGAGAAACAUUAGCUUCCGAUAACCUCCCACAGAAAUAUUUAUAUAUUUAGUACUGUGCAAAAUAUUGAGUGCUUGCUGUUAAAAUGAUCAUUUCCAACAACAGAUCUAACGAUUUCCUGAUCCUUAAAGUACAUGUCAUGUAUUUGGAAUUGCCAAAUAGCAAAUACACAAGCCUUCAGAGUGUUGCACCGACUCCCGCAUCCAAAAGUCAGCAAAACCUGGAGUUUACAACCUAACUAAAGAGAUUAGUCAUCCAUAAAGAGGUAAAACAAAAUUCUAGCCACCAGUUACUCGUACAACAUCAAAAUCAUUCCUCCCAAAAACAACGAAUUGUUUUAAUCAAGUCCCCUCUUAAAAAGUCAUGUAUUUCUAACACCAGAAAACUUUUCUCCAUAUAAAGCUGCUGUUAGAAGUAUGUCCAUUGGUCCCCUACCUUUAAAUAAUUCAGGUUCACAUUUCCCAUCCAGUAUCUUCUCAAUAUUCUCAAAAGCUCUUUCACCUGCUUCAAUUUUCUUUUUCAUUCUAUAUCCUUGUUUCUCAUAUGCCCUCCUUGCCCUGCGAAUUUCCUUGAUUUUCAAAUCACAUUGUCUGCAGAACCAUUUCCCUCUAGGCACAGAAGUGCGUGGUGGAGUCAUGCAAUACAUGUGAUAUGCAUUAUCACAACCAUCGCAUAAAAGGAUCUCAUUAUCAUCUUUAUCAGUUAGGCAAACUCUACACAAACAAGAAGGGCAAUACCAACGCAGACCAUAUGAUUUUAACAGGUUAGUUGUCAAGCACCUCACAUGGUAAUACUUGUAAGGGCAUAAACCAUGGUCACAUAUCUUCAGCUUUUCACCAUUUUCCACCUCACUUCCACAAAUUUUACAAACACAAAUAUUUUUACUCCCUGCUGGCGGUUGACAAAAAUCAUCCCUCGUACAAUUUGAAGUCUCUUCAAAAUCGCAGACUAUUUUUUCAAUUGUUGAUGUUCCCUUUCCAUCAGUCCUGGGAGCAUUCAGCCUCUCACAUAUUACACAAUUCUCAUGGGGAGAUACCACUCCUACUGCUCUGCAGCUCACACAGUACCAACUUUUUGGGGGAAUCUCUUUGACAGCAGGUUCAAUACAGGAUACAUGGUACAUUUCCUCGCAUGAAUCACAUACUAGACAAUCCCUCCCAUUUGCUUUGCCCCCACAAUGCCGACAAGUACAGACUCUGUAUACACCAGAAGUGUCUAUUUUCUCUGAUUUAUGAUGAAAAUUAAAUUCCUGAGUACUGAACUGUUUUGAAGCCAAAAAAUGUAAAUUAUUUCUCAGAACCAACUAAAUCAGUUUCUAAAACAAAAUCUAAAAAAUCCAUGAACAUGGUAGUUCUAAAAUGAUUCAUUAUUUUGUACAUGGCAUGAGUCCGUCAAAAUUUAGUUUCAUAGAAGAAUAUCUGCAUGUUGAGUAUCUUACCUGUUCAUUAAAGCAAGUUAAAGAUACAUCUGAGAGGCUCUUUGCAAGAGAAAUCAAAUCAUUACCAAUUCCUUGAAGCUUUUUCCACACCAGUUGAAUAUCCGUAAAAAAAAGUGAAGGUGAAUGUUCAUAAACUCCAUCUUUCAUCCUCAUGUUUAUGAGACUUGAGCCUAAAAGGUUGUCAGCCUUCAUUUCUUUGAAAUUUUCAACCAGUAGCUUACACAAUAAGGUGAACUUUUCAGAAAGCAUAAUAUUAAGGAAAGCACGCUGGCACAUCUCAGUGACAGGAUGAUGAGAUUUGUCCAAAGAUUCAUUAGAUCUGAAAUCUACAUGCUCUUUAGCUGCAUGAAUUCCAUUAGGCAUCCACCUUGCUUGUGAGGAGCACUUGUGCUCAUCUUUGUCACAAGUAUCAAAUUCCUCAACAGUCAUCAUAAGUGCAUCUCGGAUGCAACCCUGAAUACCACCUUCUUUAUCAUUUAAUGACUGAUAUAUGCGCUCAAGGACUACAUUUCUACACUGCUUGCGUAAAACAUCAUUUGAACCAUACAGAGAAGAAUGUUUUUCAGGAAGACAGUCUGAUGGCUCUUUUGUGGUCUCUUCUGCCAAUUUACUAGCUUCCAUAGAACCUCUCCCUUCCUCUUGAACUUUAUUCUCUGAACUCCACCUAGUGAGUUUUCGCCUCUUGUAAGUUCGCAAACCCUCACUGGGCCCUGAGCCCCCAUCACCACCAUCAUUCCCAAUCCUAAUCCAAAAACCAUUAUUCACUGCUUCACUUUUCAAGCACUGAACUGCCACUCCUGUGCUGUCACCGUUACUUGUUCCCUCCUCACCACCCAUCUCUUAGUAGCACAAAGAAAAGCCCAGAUAACAAAAAAACCCUAAUUUCCAGGCUUUCAGCACCAAAUUAGGGUUUCACCGGAACACCACAUUCAAAGAGUUCAAGUUCAAUUGAAUUGUCAGAUAAACAGAUACUAAGAACAGAAAAUCAAUAAUAUAAAAAAAGGAUAAUUAGCAAUAUUUUCUCCAAUAAAGUUCACAUAAAUCCAAGUUCUCAGUUUGGUAGCCAAGAAAACACAUCAAAGAAAGAUAAUGGAUGACAAGAGAAGUGAACGUUGCAUCUAACCACUGCUGUUGCUUUCAGUUUUUCAAGUAAAAUUAAGCCAAAUUCUUGCAUGAGAGUUCAGUAAGUGUACAUUUAUCUUUUAUAGCCCAAAAAUUGGCAGGUUAAAGAUAAAAAAAAGAUUAUAUCUUUUUUUAUUUCUCUCUUUGUUUGACAUUUUCUCAGUAACCAAACAGAGCAUUAAACAAACAAAUAAUUACUAGAAAAUCAACGAAGAUAGAAAAAGAAACGAGGAAACAUACCCGAAUAUAGUUUUCUUAGGUAAGGAAAACCGAAACCUAAAAUCUUAGAGGAAGGAGUUGGUUGGUUUGAAGGAGAGAAGUUGCAGGUCUUAUCCGUCUAAUUUUAAAAAAUUUUUAGAACAGAGUCUCUUUGUUCUCUGCUAUUUUAUUUCCCCAUUUUUUUGUUAUAAUUUAUUUUUUUUCUAUUAAUUGAGCAAGAGGUAGUACGGAUCCGGUAGUGGGUACCGCGGAUGUGACAAGAACAGCCUGUGGUGUCACUGACACGUGCCGUCCACGAUAUGAGUUCGGCGUUGUAAACUUCAAACCGUCAGGCGUCAGCCUUGUAUCCCACCACACGCCGCCUGCUUCAUCCUACGGGGGGC